CUGCAACUCGACUACAUGAAGCUGGAAUCGCUAGUAAUCGUAGAUCAGCAUGCUACGGUGAAUACGUUCCCGGGUCUUGUACACACCGCCCGUCACACCACGAGAGUUUGUAACACCCGAAGCCGGUGGAGUAACCUUUUAGGAGCUAGCCGUCGAAGGUGGGACAAAUGAUUGGGGUGAAGUCGUAACAAGGUAGCCGUAUCGGAAGGUGCGGCUGGAUCACCUCCUUUCUAAGGAUAUAUUCGGAACAUCUUCUUCAGAAGAUGCGGAAUAACGUGACAUAUUGUAUUCAGUUUUGAAUGUUUAUUUAACAUUCAAAAAAAUGGGCCUAUAGCUCAGCUGGUUAGAGCGCACGCCUGAUAAGCGUGAGGUCGGUGGUUCGAGUCCACUUAGGCCCACCAUUAUUUGUACAUUGAAAACUAGAUAAGUAAGUAAAAUAUAGAUUUUACCAAGCAAAACCGAGUGAAUAAAGAGUUUUAAAUAAGCUUGAAUUCAUAAGAAAUAAUCGCUAGUGUUCGAAAGAACACUCACAAGAUUAAUAACGCGUUUCCUGUAGGAUGGAAACAUAGAUUAAGUUAUUAAGGGCGCACGGUGGAUGCCUUGGCACUAGAAGCCGAUGAAGGACGUUACUAACGACGAUAUGCUUUGGGGAGCUGUAAGUAAGCUUUGAUCCAGAGAUUUCCGAAUGGGGAAACCCAGCAUGAGUUAUGUCAUGUUAUCGAUAUGUGAAUACAUAGCAUAUCAGAAGGCACACCCGGAGAACUGAAACAUCUUAGUACCCGGAGGAAGAGAAAGAAAAUUCGAUUCCCUUAGUAGCGGCGAGCGAAACGGGAAGAGCCCAAACCAACAAGCUUGCUUGUUGGGGUUGUAGGACACUCUAUACGGAGUUACAAAGGACGACAUUAGACGAAUCAUCUGGAAAGAUGAAUCAAAGAAGGUAAUAAUCCUGUAGUCGAAAAUGUUGUCUCUCUUGAGUGGAUCCUGAGUACGACGGAGCACGUGAAAUUCCGUCGGAAUCUGGGAGGACCAUCUCCUAAGGCUAAAUACUCUCUAGUGACCGAUAGUGAACCAGUACCGUGAGGGAAAGGUGAAAAGCACCCCGGAAGGGGAGUGAAAUAGAACCUGAAACCGUGUGCUUACAAGUAGUCAGAGCCCGUUAAUGGGUGAUGGCGUGCCUUUUGUAGAAUGAACCGGCGAGUUACGAUUUGAUGCAAGGUUAAGCAGUAAAUGUGGAGCCGUAGCGAAAGCGAGUCUGAAUAGGGCGUUUAGUAUUUGGUCGUAGACCCGAAACCAGGUGAUCUACCCUUGGUCAGGUUGAAGUUCAGGUAACACUGAAUGGAGGACCGAACCGACUUACGUUGAAAAGUGAGCGGAUGAACUGAGGGUAGCGGAGAAAUUCCAAUCGAACCUGGAGAUAGCUGGUUCUCUCCGAAAUAGCUUUAGGGCUAGCCUCAAGUGAUGAUUAUUGGAGGUAGAGCACUGUUUGGACGAGGGGCCCCUCUCGGGUUACCGAAUUCAGACAAACUCCGAAUGCCAAUUAAUUUAACUUGGGAGUCAGAACAUGGGUGAUAAGGUCCGUGUUCGAAAGGGAAACAGCCCAGACCACCAGCUAAGGUCCCAAAAUAUAUGUUAAGUGGAAAAGGAUGUGGCGUUGCCCAGACAACUAGGAUGUUGGCUUAGAAGCAGCCAUCAUUUAAAGAGUGCGUAAUAGCUCACUAGUCGAGUGACACUGCGCCGAAAAUGUACCGGGGCUAAACAUAUUACCGAAGCUGUGGAUUGUCCUUUGGACAAUGGUAGGAGAGCGUUCUAAGGGCGUUGAAGCAUGAUCGUAAGGACAUGUGGAGCGCUUAGAAGUGAGAAUGCCGGUGUGAGUAGCGAAAGACGGGUGAGAAUCCCGUCCACCGAUUGACUAAGGUUUCCAGAGGAAGGCUCGUCCGCUCUGGGUUAGUCGGGUCCUAAGCUGAGGCCGACAGGCGUAGGCGAUGGAUAACAGGUUGAUAUUCCUGUACCACCUAUAAUCGUUUUAAUCGAUGGGGGACGCAGUAGGAUAGGCGAAGCGUGCGAUUGGAUUGCACGUCUAAGCAGUAAGGCUGAGUAUUAGGCAAAUCCGGUACUCGUUAAGGCUGAGCUGUGAUGGGGAGAAGACAUUGUGUCUUCGAGUCGUUGAUUUCACACUGCCGAGAAAAGCCUCUAGAUAGAAAAUAGGUGCCCGUACCGCAAACCGACACAGGUAGUCAAGAUGAGAAUUCUAAGGUGAGCGAGCGAACUCUCGUUAAGGAACUCGGCAAAAUGACCCCGUAACUUCGGGAGAAGGGGUGCUCUUUAGGGUUAACGCCCAGAAGAGCCGCAGUGAAUAGGCCCAAGCGACUGUUUAUCAAAAACACAGGUCUCUGCUAAACCGUAAGGUGAUGUAUAGGGGCUGACGCCUGCCCGGUGCUGGAAGGUUAAGAGGAGUGGUUAGCUUCUGCGAAGCUACGAAUCGAAGCCCCAGUAAACGGCGGCCGUAACUAUAACGGUCCUAAGGUAGCGAAAUUCCUUGUCGGGUAAGUUCCGACCCGCACGAAAGGCGUAACGAUUUGGGCACUGUCUCAACGAGAGACUCGGUGAAAUCAUAGUACCUGUGAAGAUGCAGGUUACCCGCGACAGGACGGAAAGACCCCGUGGAGCUUUACUGUAGCCUGAUAUUGAAAUUCGGCACAGCUUGUACAGGAUAGGUAGGAGCCUUUGAAACGUGAGCGCUAGCUUACGUGGAGGCGCUGGUGGGAUACUACCCUAGCUGUGUUGGCUUUCUAACCCGCACCACUUAUCGUGGUGGGAGACAGUGUCAGGCGGGCAGUUUGACUGGGGCGGUCGCCUCCUAAAAGGUAACGGAGGCGCUCAAAGGUUCCCUCAGAAUGGUUGGAAAUCAUUCAUAGAGUGUAAA
RNAcentral lists this ribosomal RNA (2923 nucleotides) under Staphylococcus aureus. Its description in RNAcentral is "23S rRNA". The stretch from base 569 to 2923 matches the Rfam family "Bacterial large subunit ribosomal RNA", at positions 1 to 2355 of the family's 2925-position model. Lineage: Bacteria; Bacillati; Bacillota; Bacilli; Caryophanales; Staphylococcaceae. The record is from RNAcentral.